UCUUAUGGUGUUGGUUUUAUAUGAAAGCAUGUGCAAGAUAUUCCUAGAAUAUCUGAUUAAGAUUAGGUUGACUUUGGGGUCAUGCUUUGCAGGGUUGACAUCCUAUGAUUAGGGGAACUUACUACGCUCUGCCCUUCUUUGUUUUUUGUUCAUGGUUAUGUAGACAGGCUGAAGCCCAUCUUGCCCUAUUGAUUUAAUCAGUAAACUAGAAUUCGUCCCUGUGAUCUUUUGUGGUCAGCCACGCUUUGUUCAUUCUGCAAUUCUUUGAUAGAACGCUGCUGAAAUCACUUCAAGUCGCCACAAACAGGUGAUAGCUAGCGGCACCCCGUCACAAUAUGGCAUGUUACCAGUAACAAGGUAUUCAGCCAGUGAAAGCGAGUAAAGUCAUCUUCAUAUUGAAAUGGCUUGCUGAGAAGGAGAGUGGAAGCAGCUGGAGGAAGGGUCAUAGAUUGGAAUGGAUCCCGUGUCCUAGGCGUGCUUGCUACAUUGAGGUCAAUGGGUAUGUGGGACUGAACUUGAUGAUGAAGAUCAAAUUAGUGAGCGAACUUCUAAAAUUCUUGCCGCGCAUCAUGCCAACUCCUUGGACUGGAUACGUGGAGGGUCAAAGGGGAUAGAAGGCGUGGUAAAGGCUCUGGUAGGAAGUGUGGUCUUUUGGGAAAUAACUUCACAGUUGCAUUGAUGGUGCAACUACGGGAUCCUUUGCGGAAUUAUGAACCGGUCGGUGCACCAAUGCUUGCGCUAAUUCAGGUCGAGAGAGUGUUUGUUCCACCAAAGCCAAGGAUUUACCUCAAGGUUUCUGAAGUAAAAUAUGAGGAUGAAGAGGAUGAGUCAGCCGAGUCCAUAAAGAAGGAAGAAAUUAAGGAGGGGACAGAAGAAAAAAAUCUGAGGUGGAAGAAAUUCCCCAGUAUAACAUUUCUGAAGUCCAUGUUGCUGGUCUCAAGACUGAUCCUGGGAAGAGAAAGGUCUGGGGAAGUUCAAACCAGCAACAAUCUGGUUCCCGUUGGUUGCUCGCUAAUGGAAUGGGGAAGAGCAAUAAGCAUCCGUUCCUGAAGUCAAAGACUGCUUCUUCUAAAUCUACUGCCCCAGCAACAACUAAGGCACAGCCUGGUGACACACUGUGGAGCAUCUCAUCCCGUGUUCAUGGAACUGGUGCUAAAUGGAAGGAAUUGGCAGCUCUUAACCCACACAUACGCAAUCCCAAAAUUAUUCUCCCAAAUGAAACCGUCAGGUUGUGUUAAGUUGGGGUUGUGAAACAGAUCUUCUUGAAAGAGGCUAGGUUUGCCAAGCUGGGUUGAGUGAAGUUUAUGAGUUACAUUAGUUGUGGGCUUGCUGAUCGAAACCACACAUUGUGGUUGUCUAAGAAAGAUGAAAGUGCUGGCUCCUGCCUUUGAGAACUCUCUUACCUUCCCAAUUGUUAUGGACUGAUUGUCACCAGUCUAAGGUACAAAAGAUCUGUCUAUGCAAUUGUUUUCAUCUCUCUUCUUCCAUCCCCUGUAAUCAGUUUGCAUAUGAACAGUAAUUUUUUGUGUUUUGUUUGGGAUGAUACGCUACCAA
This is a long non-coding RNA of Eucalyptus grandis, 1554 nucleotides long. RefSeq lists it as uncharacterized. NCBI's taxonomy places the organism in Eukaryota, Viridiplantae, Streptophyta, Magnoliopsida, Myrtales, Myrtaceae. The transcript has 3 exons. The record is from RefSeq and is a predicted model, not a curated record.